Molecule: long non-coding RNA, 1040 nt
Filed under: Androctonus crassicauda
Lineage: Eukaryota; Metazoa; Arthropoda; Arachnida; Scorpiones; Buthidae
Source: RNAcentral
GUGGAGUUGCUAGUUUAUUUCAUUAUUUUCAUAUGUUUUAUUUUAUCUAAUUACAAUUGGAUGAUAAAUGUUUUUGUUUUCUUAACUCUUAUAUUUACUUACCUAAUUUAUUUGUUAUUAAUAUCUACCUAUACUAUAAAAUAAUCAAGUUGUUCUGUAAAAAUUCUGGAUUUGUAAUAAUCUUUUUUUGGCCAUGGAGAGGUGAGAUGCCACUAUUCCAUGCUCAUCCAUUUUGUGGCUGGAUUGAAGUGCUGGAUACCAUGUUUCAUUUGUGGCUACAAUCUUGAAAAGAAACUGUCCCCUUUGCUUGGUAAUGAAACAGAUGCUCCAUUUGCAAGCAUCCAUUUUCUGAGCUUUCUACUCCUCAGAGAGAUGCUUGGAGACCCAUUGUGUGUAAACCUUGUAUCCCAACAAUAUCUCCAUUGUGGUAUCAAUGGAGAAUAGUCUGAAUGAUUCCCUUGCUCAUGAACAAUGUUUCCACUUUGUCAUGUGGUGAUCUGGCAAUUCUCCCUUGCAAGGCUGUCCAUAGUAACAAUCAGUUCCACAAUGAUGGCUAACUGCACUUGACCAGAUCUAGAUAUGUCCUCAGUGUUUACAUAUCCUUCACAAAAUUCACAACAUCUGAACACUGUAUUGCAUAACACAUUCAUUUUCACACACUCCUUCAUAUAAUGAUAAUUUUCAGCUCUACUAACACUUUCUGCCUUUAAAAGUUGAAUUAUUGCUUACUGAGUAUAUUUGGACAAUUCCAUGUCAUGACUAUACCAAUUCAACUUGCUUUUAAACAUGAAAACAGAACACUACACCUUCAGACAACACCAUUUCCUCACAUGCAGUACCACCUAAUGGAGUAAACACAAAGCUCUGUGUAUUGAAGCAACAACAUUACUACAAAAUUAUUACUUUCAGUUGCCUAACUGAAAGCAAGACUUUUGUAGUAAUAUAAUUUUAAAUAUGUAUAUUUUAUAAAAUCUAUAAAAUUUAAAUGAUACUAGGACAAAAAUAUUAUUUUUUAACAUUUAAGUUUAUAUACUUUUCUG